GUGGGGAAUCUUCCGCAAUGGACGAAAGUCUGACGGAGCGACGCCGCGUGAGUGAAGAAGGCCUUCGGGUCGUAAAGCUCUGUCAUCAGGGACGAACGGCCGGUGGAGUGGAAAGCCACCGGAUUGACGGUACCUGAGAAGGAAGCCACGGCUAACUACGUGCCAGCAGCCGCGGUAAUACGUAGGUGGCAAGCGUUGUCCGGAAUUAUUGGGCGUAAAGCGCGCGCAGGUGGGAUCUUAAGUCCAUUUUUAAAGUUCGGAGCUCAACUCCGUGAUGGGAUGGAAACUGGGAGUCUUGAGUACCGGAGAGGAAAGCGGAAUUCCCCGUGUAGCGGUGAAAUGCGUAGAUAUGGGGAGGAACACCAGUGGCGAAGGCGGCUUUCUGGACGGUGUCUGACACUGAGGCGCGAAAGCCAGGGGAGCGAACGGGAUUAGAUACCCCUGUAGUCC
Molecule: ribosomal RNA, 450 nt
Filed under: uncultured bacterium
Lineage: Bacteria
Description: partial 16S ribosomal RNA
Rfam family: Bacterial small subunit ribosomal RNA
Source: RNAcentral